This 507-nucleotide long non-coding RNA is filed under the name Cyanistes caeruleus (blue tit). RNAcentral's name for it is "lncRNA (ENSCCEG00000003496.1)". Lineage: Eukaryota; Metazoa; Chordata; Aves; Passeriformes; Paridae. The record is from RNAcentral.
CUUAGUUGCUGGUUGCAAUAAGUUCACAUGUAAUGAAAAUACCUUCUAAUCCUGCACCACUACAAACUUGUGCUGUAAGCAUUCAGACAGCUGCUACAUAGAACACACUGAGAGGUUCAGCCAUUUUCAGGUCCUGAGUGUGUACUGUGGUACUGUGUACCUUUGCUACUCUGAGCAGUUCUGGCUGAGAAUUUCUGGAUGCAUCAUGAUGGAAUGCAAGCAGUGGAAGCAUAUCAUUUCUCUUCAGAUAAAUCGUUCCUCAACUUCAAACUCCACUGCUUCCUCACUGCAACUAAAAGCUUAGAAGAGUGUUUUCUGCACUGAAAAACAGGUUUGAACAGAGUAGACCAUGAGAACACUCUCUAAAUUCCUAGUUCAAGUUAGGAAAUGAGGUUUGUGCAAGCAGCUAAUCUUAUCAACCUCUAAAUUAAUCUGAUUUUUAUUAAAAAAAAAACAAAAACAAAACCCACUUAAAACAGAGGUUACAGUUGUUGAGUAAUUAAUAAA